UAGCUUUGACAGCUGAGACACUAAAAUUAGAACAGAAAUGAUCUUGGCUCUUGUACCAGGUUGACAUGCAAAUUCAUGAGGCAUCCUAUAUUUUU
Molecule: small nuclear RNA, 95 nt
Filed under: Microtus ochrogaster (prairie vole)
Lineage: Eukaryota; Metazoa; Chordata; Mammalia; Rodentia; Cricetidae
Source: RNAcentral